This 5753-nucleotide long non-coding RNA is filed under the name Medicago truncatula (barrel medic). Its description in RNAcentral is "long non-coding RNA (MTRU_LNC005876)". Lineage: Eukaryota; Viridiplantae; Streptophyta; Magnoliopsida; Fabales; Fabaceae. The record is from RNAcentral.
UUUUUUUAAAAAAAAAUAAGUCAAGAGCAAAAUGACAUCAAAAAGAAUAGUGUCCAACUAUGUUGGAACCCUACUCUCCUCUCUUGCCAAUUGCACAAACAUAUUAUUAAAAAAAAGGAAAAAUUACAUAAAAAUUAGGGGGACAUAAAACCUGACAUAGUCAACAACCCUAAUAGGGAUAAACAAAAACAAAAAAAAACCAUCCAUGAAGUGGGUCCAACCCUAAACAAUUCUAACAAUUAAACGCGGGUCUAAAGCUUGGCGAAUGAAUCGAUCGUCAACACAAAUCGGAUCAUGUAUCAUCAACUUCCUGCAACAACGACAGCAAGCAUUGACGACUCUUUCGAGUCCAUACAGUCUCAUGACAAUCAACAAGGUGACUGGGAUACCCGAGAAUGACGUAUGAAUUGUUUUCCAACACAGAAAGAUAAAUGAUUCAUCAACUCCCUAUAAAACAACAGCAAGCAAUAAUCGCCCUUUUCGAACCAAACCAUCCAUGAACAAGACGUUGCGAUCCAAAAAGAAUCAACACAAGCUGGAACUGAUUUUUCUAAAAGUAACACCUUCCCCAAUUUCUUGGUGCAAUAGAUGCAAACCCGUAAAAUUUGUAACCUGCAAAUAUCAUCAAACCUUGGUUAAAAUCAGGAAACAAAGCAAGACACAAAUCAGUACCAAUCACACAUUGAAACUGGACGUUUAAAGCAUAAACCAAUCUGUCUGAUUGCAAUCACGAAGGAUUGAGACGGAUUUUAAGCCAUUUCCCGAUUCCUACGUCAUGGUGGAAGCAAACCCAUUAGUGUUGAAUCCUGCAUAUCUCAACAGAUAUGGGUUAGAAUCGGAAAACUAAAGCAAGAUGAGAACCCCAGUCAGACGAACCGAGAAAAUUCCGAACGCGAUUCUUAGAUUAGAAAAGAUCUCAAUCCACGUUAUCAACACCAAAACACCCAUCAACCAUCGGUCCAUACGGACGUAAUAGGGUGAUAGGACAACGGCGCUGCUCACUAAGGAAACAACAGCCGCAGCUAAGAAAGAUAACCAUCCACCACUGUCGAGGACAACGGCGGCGUUGACCCGAGCAUACCCUAACGUGUCCAAAAAGACCACCAUAGGGUUUGACGGUGGUGCAGCCGUGAGGGCAUAACGCACCACUGCAGUGUAGGGCUACAUCAGAAAGGUUUGGGUAUUGGAUGAAGGUGAUGAUGUUGGGCGGCGGCUAGUUUAGUUUAGGUUAGAGAGAGGUUUGCAAGAGAGAGGUUCCUUCUUCUAUGCUUCAAUUUUUUAGAAAAUCUCUAGAUUCUUUUAACACAAAAUCUUUUAAAAAAGUGAUUUUUAUGGGUAGUAAACAAACAAAAAUAGCUUCAAUUUUUUUAGAAAAUCUCUAGAUUCUUUUAACACAAUCUUUUUUUUUUCGAGAAAUGUUAGUUGACAACUUUUUGGUUGUCCAACACCAUAUAUUUAUACUCUAUAAGUACUAUUUCAUUUUUUUUUUAUUAGUUAUUUCUCUCUCUUAUAUUCACAUCAAUAGCUAUUAAUUAUAUAUUUUUAUACGGAUUGUCAAAUAGUUGCUGCUUUUUGAAUUUUCAAAUAACAUUGCUCUUUUUUUAAAAACUGAAACAAUCGCAUCUAAGUCUACUAUAGGUGAUGGAUGAUAAAGAAAAGUUUGCAAAAAGAUGGAGACUCAUUGAUUCAACUAAGCUUUGGUAGACAACUUUAAGGAUGGUAACUUCACUAAUCCUUUCAAUUUUAUUCUUUGCAAGAUCAAAAUCAACAUUAUAAUUCAACACAUCUUCAAUUUUCUUUAUCUAUGCAAGUUUGCUCCCCAAGUGUCAAGCAUAAGGGACAAAAUGCAUCGUAGUGUGACAUGGAGUAGGUCAUAAUAAGAUCCUUUAUAACACUUUCCUAUUGGAUCAUCUUCAAUCGCAUACAAAAAGUUUAACAUUAACUUCAAGACAGUAUGACUUAAGUCACAAGUCAGAAAUUCAUUGGAAAGAAUUAUAUAACCAAUCUCUUAUAUAUCUUGGAUAAAUACAGUUAAUUUGAAUCAUAGGAGCAUAACAGUAACACAACAGAAGGCCAAAAAAAAAAAAAAAAUCACAAUCUUGCAUGCAAAAGUGUAAAAAAGAGCACAAAGCAGUUAUAUGAUAGAUGCAAUUCAAUGAUGUCUUCCCGCAAGGAAAGAAAACCUUGGAUAUUUACAAAUUACAAAUGCUACACAAACCUCAUGAUCAUUCACAACGCUAUUUUCGCCUUCUUUUCUUAUCAUAAUACAAUUCACAUUGUCCAACAAAUCACUUUUUGCCCCAAGCAAAGCAGCAACACUGGAGAAACAAAGAGUGCAAAGAUAAGCAUUAGUACAGUGAAAAACUAUGAAGCACUGACUGGUGCAGACGCCGACACUAGACACAAUACUAACCGAUAUAUACUUGUAAUAAUUUAAGAAAAUAAAAGUGAUUGAAUGUAACCACAUGUUAGUAUUGUGUUGUACAUUGACAUGUGUCAGACACCAACUACGCAUUCAAUUUGAAGUGUCGGUGCUGCAUAGUUGAAAACUCCAAAAUUUAUAGAUUUGCAAUGUGUUAAACAGGAGGGCAUACCUGAGCUUUGUCAUUAUUUUGGUUGCGGAUAACAUGCGGCCUCUCAUUAGGUGUGCCAGGUGCAUGUCCGGCCCCACCCUGUCUCUCCUCUCUCACUUUAUUGAAAAUGUGAGUAUAGCCAUCAGCUGAUGCAGGGUUACUCACAUCCCAAUCACCAAACUUUGGAACAGCUGCACCUUUAUCAGGCUGCAACAUCAGAAUGCCAAAAUCAUAACAUAUUCGCAAUAGAAAAUAUCACGAAGAUUCUAAGGUACAAUAAUAUAUAUGCAGAUUUUUACUCUUCAUGCCAUGCACAGUGAUAACAUACGACGGAAGAAAAGAAAAACUAACAGUUUCAUCCCCUCGAUUAGCUGGUCUUAAUCGAGAUCUUCCCGGUGUACCAUGGCUGCUGUCAUAGGAAUUAUUCUUUCCUUCCCAAGAGGGACUAUCUCUUCCAGCAGGAGCUCUAGCCUGACGAUGAAGGGGUGACCGUUCAACGCUGUGCUCAGACCCAGCAGUACUUUGUCUUGAAGGUCUUCGUCGGUUAUCAGCAGAACCUACUCCAAGACGAGGUGUAGAAUCAUUGGAACUCCUAUUGCUUGCAUUGUCAUGGCGAGCCGGAGAGUCAACAUAUUGCUUAGGAUCACCAUCAAGACUUUUAUGCGACUCAAUUGUUGAUCGCACCAAUCCCUUUCCAGAUAGAUCCUCUGAAUUGGCUCUGGGUUUGGUAUUGGAAGGAGGUGGAUGAUCAGACGAUGAAUUAUCAAGAACUAAAUCGACAUUUUCUUCAGGGUCAUUCGGGUUUAUCAUCUUUGUGCCAGUUCGACCUUUCCGUGCCUUGUCAAAAUAUGCUGUAUAAGGAACAUUAUCAUUACUCUCCCAAUUGCCAAAUUUUGGUACAUGAGUACGUUGCUGCCAAAUCAACACAUGAAAAAUAGUCUGUUAAGUAGAGUUUCAAUAAAAUAAAUGCCAGAGUACAUGUUUCAAACACUUGUAACUUCACUACUCACAUUCAAGAACCUUUGUUAUAAUUUUUAAAUAACAAGAGAACAAAGCAGUGAUUUUUUUUUCUUCCAUUUUUGUUGUAAUAAUCAUCAUACAUUGGUAUUUUAGGGAGAUAUAUUUAUAUUGGAUUUCAAAUUUGGACCCUUUGUGGUCUCGUGAACCAGAUUAAAUAAUCAAUUAUCUUGGUCCCCGAAACUGCUACACUUUCUAGAAGCUGGUAGAGAUUACACCAAAUAUCUCACUAUGAAGACUUUGUUUGGGUAAACAACUUAAUUAAGCGCUUCUAGAACAAAAGAUAAGUGUUUAUAUAUAAGUUAUUUCAAUAACAAAAGAUAAAAUAAAAUGAAGCUAUUUUUAUAUAAGCUAUAAGUUCAAGUUGUUCUCAUAAUCUAUCCUGGAGAUAAUCCUAUUCAAGGCAUGUCAAAUACUGAAUGUGGAUGCCUCUCUCAUCAUCAAAAUUUAAGGAUAUAUUCAUAAUUUUGUUAAUAAUUCCAUAAAAUCACCAAAAUUAUUUAACUUUUUGACCUAAGCAAAACUACAAUCUUGCAGUCAUACCCAACACAAUAUCGAAUUCAUACUAUACAUCAACUCUAGAAUUCAAAUAGGAUAAAGACCCUCAAUGAAUUGUGUUUUUUCAUUCAUUUACUCUUUUAUUUUUGUGUAACCAUUUGCUCAUUUUUAACUCUCACCUUAAUUAAUCACCCAAUAUAGUACGCAUUUUGCUAUAAAAAAUCAGGCCUUUGCUACCAUUUCGGAUUGAAACACAGAAGUUUUUUUUUUUAAAAAAAAACUCAGAUUCCAGCCCAAGAGCCGACUAAUCCAAUGGGUCCAAUCCCACCGUCCACUUGCGGAGGGGCCAUCGACACAGAAUAUAUAGUUAAAAGAUGAUAUGAUUGAACAUAACUUCAUCAUUCGUUAUUCAAUCACAAUUAAGAUGUAUGGUUCAAUAUUUUGAACCCAAAAUCCCUUCUCCGCAAAAUCUUACUAGGCCAACGAAUGAUUGUUAAAACAUACAAUAGAUUCUCUAUGCCUUUUCACUAAACUCAAACAGGGAAGUUAACAAAACCACAUAAUUCAUGUGAUAGUUCACAUAUACUUUAAUGUACCAAAAUAUGUGCAUUCUAAAUAGUACAAUCAGCACAUGUGCUACAGAAAAAUCCAAUGAGAAUCAUAAUUCAUACACCUCAUCCAAGUUGUUCCUCAACUCAAACAUGGGAUUGCAACUAAACAACAAACUCAUAGUUACAACUUAAGUAUCUGCUUGUUUUGACAGAUUUUGAUUCAACACAGGAUUCAAAUUAUACGAAAAUACAAUUACGAUUAUUGAUUAGAGAAAUGAUAUUUGAACAUCCAUUUUGUGACAACUUUUGUGACAACUUUCUCUCUCAUACUCACAUCAUAUUCUCAUUUUCUCUCUCUAUUGCUUUGGUUUUUGUGCCAAGACUCACAUUUCUUUCUAUAUUUUGGUUGUCCCACAAGUUGUCCUACAAAAUGGUUGUUCAAAUAACACUCCUCUAUUGAUUAUUAACAAGGUAAUUGAUUAAAUAAUUAGUAAAUAAAUUAUGAUAAAAAAAUAAAAAAUAAAUAAAAAAACUAGGCUAAGCUAAAUCAUAAACCCAGCAUGAUUAAUAUGAAACUAGCAUAAUUAGGUUCUUUGCUCAUAAACAAAUAAGAAGAUUCUAAUUCUAAUUGAAUUGCUUCCUUCAAGUUUCUAAGAAACCAAAAAAGGAAACUUUUCAUGCUUGAUCUAACAGUACAGAAAUAACAAAGUUGACCAAAAGAAGUUAAAGUCUAAUUUGGUCAACCAUUUCAAAACAAUUGAAGAUGAAAAUACACAUAAAACAUACAACAUAAUGCAAAAAACAUAAUCAUAGACACAUAUACAACAUAACCAAACCAUGAUCAGAAAGGUAAAAAUUUGUAUAGAGAGAAAAGAGAAGAAAAAAAAAACUUACUGCCAUUUUCUUCUAAGCUUGAAAAGCAAAAUUCUUGAAAAAGAAAUUAAAAAAUUAGGCUCUUUUUGGAUCAACCUCAGAAGAGGUAAAAACUGAGAGAACCCAAGAAGCUCCUCCACAAAAUUGAAUGCUUCAGCAAGAGAGAGAGAGAGAGAGCAAUUUAGAAAGAGGUUUAUCAACCGUUGACCGGAGCCACCGGUUAUGUUUGACUAUUAUUUUC